AGGCGGAGACUAACACAUGCAAGUCGAGCGGUAGCACAGAGAGCUUGCUCUCGGGUGACGAGCGGCGGACGGGUGAGUAAUGUCUGGGAAACUGCCUGAUGGAGGGGGAUAACUACUGGAAACGGUAGCUAAUACCGCAUAACGUCGCAAGACCAAAGUGGGGGACCUUCGGGCCUCAUGCCAUCAGAUGUGCCCAGAUGGGAUUAGCUAGUAGGUGGGGUAACGGCUCACCUAGGCGACGAUCCCUAGCUGGUCUGAGAGGAUGACCAGCCACACUGGAACUGAGACACGGUCCAGACUCCUACGGGAGGCAGCAGUGGGGAAUAUUGCACAAUGGGCGCAAGCCUGAUGCAGCCAUGCCGCGUGUGUGAAGAAGGCCUUCGGGUUGUAAAGCACUUUCAGCGGGGAGGAAGGCGGUGAGGUUAAUAACCUCAUCGAUUGACGUUACCCGCAGAAGAAGCACCGGCUAACUCCGUGCCAGCAGCCGCGGUAAUACGGAGGGUGCAAGCGUUAAUCGGAAUUACUGGGCGUAAAGCGCACGCAGGCGGUCUGUCAAGUCGGAUGUGAAAUCCCCGGGCUCAACCUGGGAACUGCAUUCGAAACUGGCAGGCUAGAGUCUUGUAGAGGGGGGUAGAAUUCCAGGUGUAGCGGUGAAAUGCGUAGAGAUCUGGAGGAAUACCGGUGGCGAAGGCGGCCCCCUGGACAAAGACUGACGCUCAGGUGCGAAAGCGUGGGGAGCAAACAGGAUUAGAUACCCUGGUAGUCCACGCUGUAACGAUGUCGAUUUGGAGGUUGUGCCCUUGAGGCGUGGCUUCCGGAGCUAACGCGUUAAAUCGACCGCCUGGGGAGUACGGCCGCAAGGUUAAAACUCAAAUGAAUUGACGGGGGCCCGCACAAGCGGUGGAGCAUGUGGUUUAAUUCGAUGCAACGCGAAGAACCUUACCUGGUCUUGACAUCCACAGAACUUAGCAGAGAUGCUUUGGGUGCCUUCGGGAACUGUGAGACAGGUGCUGCAUGGCUGUCGUCAGCUCGUGUUGUGAAAUGUUGGGUUAAGUCCCGCAACGAGCGCAACCCUUAUCCUUUGUUGCCAGCGGUCAGGCCGGGAACUCAAGGAGACUGCCAGUGAUAAACUGGAGAAGGUGGGAUGACGUCAGUCAUCAUGUCCUUUACGACAGGGCUACCACGUGCUACAUGGCAUAUACAAGAAUGCGACCUCGCGGAGACAGCGAACCUUCAUAAAGAUAAUGUCCGUAGUCCGGCAUUGGGAAGUCUGC
RNAcentral lists this ribosomal RNA (1274 nucleotides) under uncultured Klebsiella sp. RNAcentral's name for it is "bacterial SSU rRNA". It matches the Rfam family "Bacterial small subunit ribosomal RNA", at positions 40 to 1308 of the family's 1533-position model. Lineage: Bacteria; Pseudomonadati; Pseudomonadota; Gammaproteobacteria; Enterobacterales; Enterobacteriaceae. The record is from RNAcentral.